GCUGAAGUGGUGGAACUGGUAGACACGCAGGACUUAAAAUCCUGUGCCCUCAACAGGCGUGCGGGUUCGAUUCCCGCCUUCAGUAC
Molecule: transfer RNA, 86 nt
Filed under: compost metagenome
Description: tRNA-Leu
Rfam family: tRNA
About the family: Transfer RNA (tRNA) molecules are approximately 80 nucleotides in length. Their secondary structure includes four short double-helical elements and three loops (D, anti-codon, and T loops).
Source: RNAcentral